Molecule: ribosomal RNA, 440 nt
Filed under: uncultured bacterium
Lineage: Bacteria
Description: partial 16S ribosomal RNA
Rfam family: Bacterial small subunit ribosomal RNA
Source: RNAcentral
CCUACGGGAGGCAGCAGUGGGGAAUAUUGCACAAUGGGGGAAACUCUGAUCCAGCGACGCCGCGUGAGUGAAGAAGUCUUUCGGUAUGUAAAGCUCUAUCAGCAGGGAAGUAAACGACGUUACCUGAUUCAGAUGCCACGUCUAACUCCGUUCCAGCAGCCGCGGUUAUACGUAGGGGGCAAGCGUUAUCCGGAUUUACUGGGUGUAAAGGGAGCGUAGACGGCAGCACAGGUCUGGAGUGAAAUGCCGGGGCUUAACCCCGGAACUGCUUUGGAAACUGUGCAGCUAGAGUGCAGGGGAGGUAAGUGGAAUUCGUGGUGUAGCGGUGAAAUGCGUAGAUAUUAGGAGGAACACCAGUGGCGAAGGCGGCUUACUGGACUGUAACUGACGUUGAGGCUCGAAGGCGUGGGGAGCAAACAGGAUUAGAUACCCUAGUAGUC